GGAGGCAGCAGUGGGGAAUAUUGCACAAUGGGCGCAAGCCUGAUGCAGCCAUGCCGCGUGUAUGAAGAAGGCCUUCGGGUUGUAAAGUACUUUCAGCGGGGAGGAAGGCGAUGCGGUUAAUAACCGCGUCGAUUGACGUUACCCGCAGAAGAAGCACCGGCUAACUCCGUGCCAGCAGCCGCGGUAAUACGGAGGGUGCAAGCGUUAAUCGGAAUUACUGGGCGUAAAGCGCACGCAGGCGGUCUGUCAAGUCGGAUGUGAAAUCCCCGGGCUUAACCUGGGAACUGCAUUCGAAACUGGCAGGCUAGAGUCUUGUAGAGGGGGGUAGAAUUCCAGGUGUAGCGGUGAAAUGCGUAGAGAUCUGGAGGAAUACCGGUGGCGAAGGCGGCCCCCUGGACAAAGACUGACGCUCAGGUGCGAAAGCGUG
This 427-nucleotide ribosomal RNA is filed under the name Pantoea dispersa. RNAcentral's name for it is "bacterial SSU rRNA". It matches the Rfam family "Bacterial small subunit ribosomal RNA", at positions 344 to 763 of the family's 1533-position model. The record is from RNAcentral. Lineage: Bacteria; Pseudomonadati; Pseudomonadota; Gammaproteobacteria; Enterobacterales; Erwiniaceae.